GGAAUGUGGCUCAAGCGGUAGCGUGCUUGUCUGGCAUGCACAGGGCUGCUGGGUUCGAUCCUCAGCACCA
RNAcentral lists this transfer RNA (70 nucleotides) under Marmota monax (woodchuck). Its description in RNAcentral is "tRNA.Ala". Lineage: Eukaryota; Metazoa; Chordata; Mammalia; Rodentia; Sciuridae. The record is from RNAcentral.